CUAAAUGAAAGCGCUUCAAUCUUCUUAGUAGCGAGGAGGAGUGACGGUGGUCUAUAUCGGUGUAUGCGGGACGCCGAGGUGGAGAUGCGGCUGAUGUUGGGCAACAUGCGCAGCAGCUUCCACGUCUCCAGGAGGAGCUGCAGGACGUAGCGCGAGUGCAGCUGCUACGGGGAGAGAGACAAGCGUCAAGCAGGCGAUGUGCGCGUUUCCAUUCCUGUCCACCUGAAAAUACUGCAAAAUGCUGCUUGAAUGUUGCCUUUUGUGCAAAAUCGGACUAUGACGUUCAGCCAUCGGCGCCAGCGUGGUCUACAAAAGAUUCCAGCAUGCCACCUGCUCGCUGACUGCUUCUCACCUUGAUCUGAGCCUGCUCUCCUGAGUAUUCGAUGGACUGGAAGAUGUGCCAGGUGUACCUCCGCCUCAUCUCCAUGCGGGCCACAUACUGACGGUACCACUGCUGGAUCAGGAUGGCCGCCCUUAUGGCUGCAACAAAAACACACCAUCAGGAAAUAUUAUUCAUCUUUCUCCUUUUAAUAGUCCUCAAGGACAACAACAACAAGUAGUAACUCCCCACUGGCUGCAGAUGCUUUGGGUUCUGACACAUUUACAGCUACAAUACAUUCAGCUACAGUCAUUUUUGUAUUCAAUUGUUGUGGCAAAUUUCUGAUACCCAAAAAUUGAAAAUCAAUAGAAAUGUAAAUAAGUUUGUUUACUGUUUGUUAAUGACACAAUUAUUAAUGAAUUAAUCCAAACAGGGGAAAAAAAUCCCUUUUUUAAAAAUUUUGAAAUGUAUUUUUUCUAUAUAUUUUGGCAGACAAAAAAUAAAAUAAAAAAUAAUAAUAAUUAUUAUUUUUUUAAAUUUAUUAUUAAUUUUACUGUCAAUUCAACAGUAUGAAAUCUGCAGGUGUUGACUGUAUCCCCCCAUACUGUGAUUUACACCAUAAAUAC
Long non-coding RNA from Dunckerocampus dactyliophorus (ringed pipefish), 945 nucleotides. RefSeq lists it as uncharacterized. The record is from RefSeq and is a predicted model, not a curated record. NCBI's taxonomy places the organism in Eukaryota, Metazoa, Chordata, Actinopteri, Syngnathiformes, Syngnathidae. The transcript has 3 exons.